Molecule: ribosomal RNA, 281 nt
Filed under: Bacillus licheniformis
Lineage: Bacteria; Bacillati; Bacillota; Bacilli; Caryophanales; Bacillaceae
Description: partial 16S ribosomal RNA
Rfam family: Bacterial small subunit ribosomal RNA
Source: RNAcentral
UAGCUACCACUUACAGAUGGACCCGCGGCGCAUUAGCUAGUUGGUGAGGUAACGGCUCACCAAGGCAACGAUGCGUAGCCGACCUGAGAGGGUGAUCGGCCACACUGGGACUGAGACACGGCCCAGACUCCUACGGGAGGCAGCAGUAGGGAAUCUUCCGCAAUGGACGAAAGUCUGACGGAGCAACGCCGCGUGAGUGAUGAAGGUUUUCGGAUCGUAAAACUCUGUUGUUAGGGAAGAACAAGUACCGUUCGAAUAGGGCGGUACUUGACGGUACCUAA